This 253-nucleotide ribosomal RNA is filed under the name uncultured bacterium. RNAcentral's name for it is "partial 16S ribosomal RNA". It matches the Rfam family "Bacterial small subunit ribosomal RNA", at positions 524 to 776 of the family's 1533-position model. The record is from RNAcentral.
UACGGAGGGUGCUAGCGUUAUUCGGAUUUACUGGGCGUAAAGCGCAUGUAGGCGGAGCGGAAAGUUAGGAGUGAAAUCCCGGGGCUUAACCUCGGAACUGCUUCUAAAACUAUCGCUCUUGAGUUUGGUAGGGGAUAACGGAAUUUCUAGUGUAGAGGUGAAAUUCGUAGAUACUAGAAGGAACACCGGAGGCGAAAGCGGUUAUCUAGGCCAAUACUGACGCUGAGAUGCGAAAGCGUGGGGAGCAAACAGG